RNAcentral lists this ribosomal RNA (254 nucleotides) under uncultured bacterium. Its description in RNAcentral is "partial 16S ribosomal RNA". It matches the Rfam family "Bacterial small subunit ribosomal RNA", at positions 524 to 776 of the family's 1533-position model. The record is from RNAcentral.
CACGUAGGGGGCAAGCGUUGUCCGGAAUCAUUGGGCGUAAAGAGCUCGUAGGCGGCUCAGUAAGUCGGGUGUGAAACCCUCAGGCUCAACCUGGGGACGCCACCCGAUACUGCUGUGGCUAGAGUCCAGUAGGGGAGUGUGGAAUUCCCGGUGUAGCGGUGAAAUGCGCAGAUAUCGGGAGGAACACCAGCGGCGAAGGCGGCUUGCUGGGCGUGAUCUGACGCUGAGGCGCGAAAGCGUGGGGAGCGAACAGG